GGUCUCGUAGCUCAACUGAUGGAGCUUGCGCGUACCAAGCCUAGGCGUCGUACGUGCGUGGGUUCGAAUCCCACCGAGCCUA
This 82-nucleotide transfer RNA is filed under the name Echinostoma caproni. It matches the Rfam family "tRNA". From Rfam's summary of the family: Transfer RNA (tRNA) molecules are approximately 80 nucleotides in length. Their secondary structure includes four short double-helical elements and three loops (D, anti-codon, and T loops). The record is from Rfam by way of RNAcentral. Lineage: Eukaryota; Metazoa; Platyhelminthes; Trematoda; Plagiorchiida; Echinostomatidae.